CUCCAAUAGCGUAUAUUAAAGUUGUUGUGGUUAAAAAGCUCGUAGUAGAAGCUCGGGCUCCGGCCGACUGGUCCGCCUCACCGCGUGCACUGGUUCGGCCGGGCCUUCACCUUCUGCGGAACCGCAUCUCCUUCACUGGGGGUGUCGGGGAAACAGGACGUUUACUGUGAAAAAAUUAGAGUGCUCCAGGCAGGCCUAUGCUCGAAUAGAUUAGCAUGGAAUAAUGGAAUAGGACGUGUGGUCUUAUUUCGUUGGUUUCUAGGACCGCCGUAAUGAUUAAUAGGGACAGUCGGGGGCAUCAGUAUUCAAUCGUCAGAGGUGAAAUUCUUGGAUCGAUUGAAGACUAACUACUGCGAAAGCAUUUGCCAAGGAUGUUUUCAUUUAUCAGGAACGAAAGUUAGGGGAUCGAAGACGAUCAGAUACCGUCGUAGUCUUAACCAUAAACUAUGCCGACUAGGGAUCGGACGGUGUUAUUUCUUGACCCGUUCGGCGCCUUACGGGAAAC
This 505-nucleotide ribosomal RNA is filed under the name uncultured fungus. Its description in RNAcentral is "SSU rRNA". It matches the Rfam family "Eukaryotic small subunit ribosomal RNA", at positions 589 to 1098 of the family's 1831-position model. Lineage: Eukaryota; Fungi. The record is from RNAcentral.